CCUACGGGAGGCAGCAGUGGGGAAUAUUGGGCAAUGGGCGCAAGCCUGACCCAGCAACGCCGCGUGAAGGAAGAAGGCCCUCGGGUUGUAAACUUCUUUUAUCAGGGACGAAACAAAUGACGGUACCUGAUGAAUAAGCCACGGCUAACUACGUGCCAGCAGCCGCGGUAAUACGUAGGUGGCAAGUGUUAUCCGGAUUUACUGGGUGUAAAGGGCGUGUAGGCGGGAGAGCAAGUCAGACGUGAAAUUCCAGGGCUCAACCCUGGAACUGCGUUUGAAACUGUUCUUCUUGAGUGAUGGAGAAGCAGGCGGAAUGCGGGGUGUAGCGGUGAAAUGCGUAGAUAUACGGAGGAACACCAGUGGCGAAGGCAGCCUGCUGGACAUUAACUGACGCUGAGGCGCGAAAGCGUGGGGAGCAAACAGGAUUAGAUACCCCAGUAGUC
Molecule: ribosomal RNA, 443 nt
Filed under: uncultured bacterium
Lineage: Bacteria
Description: partial 16S ribosomal RNA
Rfam family: Bacterial small subunit ribosomal RNA
Source: RNAcentral